AAAUUGAUUGAGAUGAUCGCUUUGAUGUAAAAAUCGGAGAGGAAAGUCCGAACACCUUAAAAAGAGUAGUUGGUAACACCAACCGUUUUAGAUAGCAAUAUCUAAAACAGGACAAGUACAACAGAAAAUAUUCCUAUUCCGCUUUGCGGGGUUAAGGGUGAAAUGAUUAGCUAAUAAGCUAAUCCGUUCUGUUGGUGACAACAGAAAUGAGGCAAACUCUACUUGGUGCAACUUUGAGUAGGCCGAGCUCAGUCAAGCUUAGCUUGAUCAGUUCGGCGGGUUGAAGGCUUGAUCUUGACGGCAACGUCAAGACUAGAUAGAUGAUCGUCGCCCUUGCUUAGCAAGGGAACAGAAUUCGGCUUAUGAUAUCAAUUUAGGC
Molecule: RNase P RNA, 379 nt
Filed under: Candidatus Komeilibacteria bacterium CG_4_9_14_0_2_um_filter_36_13
Lineage: Bacteria; Candidatus Komeiliibacteriota
Also listed under: 3 other names
Description: RNase P RNA component class A
Rfam family: Bacterial RNase P class A
About the family: Ribonuclease P (RNase P) is a ubiquitous endoribonuclease, found in archaea, bacteria and eukarya as well as chloroplasts and mitochondria.
Source: RNAcentral